Molecule: RNA transcript, 2684 nt
Organism: Rattus norvegicus (Norway rat)
Lineage: Eukaryota; Metazoa; Chordata; Mammalia; Rodentia; Muridae
Gene: Ccz1
Gene name: CCZ1 vacuolar protein trafficking and biogenesis associated
Exons: 14
Source: RefSeq, marked validated
GGAAGUGCGGUGUUCCCUAAGGCUGCGGUCUCCGAGCGGGCGGAGGCGAGCCUCCCGAAGUGGGGGCCCGGCCGGAAUGGCGGCAGCGGCGGCCGGGACAGGGACUUGGGCAGCCCAGGAAAAGCAGUUCCCGCCGGCGCUGUUGAGCUUCUUCAUCUACAACCCACGUUUCGGGCCGCGAGAGGGAGAGGAAGAAAAUAAAAUUUUGUUUUACCAUCCAAAUGAAGUAGAAAAGAAUGAAAAAAUUAGAAAUGUUGGAUUAUGUGAAGCAAUCGUACAGUUUACAAGGACUUUUAGCCCAUCGAAACCUGCAAAAUCUUUACACACACAGAAGAAUAGACAGUUCUUCAAUGAACCAGAAGAAAAUUUCUGGAUGGUCAUGGUUGUUCGGAAUCCUAUCAUCGAAAAGCAGAGUAAAGAUGGCAAGGCGGUAGUGGAGUACCAAGAGGAGGAACUGUUGGACAAGGUGUAUAGCUCAGUGCUCCAGCAGUGCUACAGCAUGUACAAGCUUUUUAAUGGGACGUUUCUGAAAGCCAUGGAAGAUGGAGGUGUCAAGCUCCUAAAAGAGAGAUUAGAGAAAUUCUUCCAUCGGUAUUUGCAGACGCUGCAUUUGCAAUCAUGUGACCUCCUGGAUAUCUUUGGUGGGAUCAGCUUCUUCCCGUUGGAUAAAAUGACUUACUUGAAAAUCCAGUCCUUUAUUAACCGAAUGGAAGAAAGCCUGAGUGUAGUCAAAUACACAGCAUUCCUGUACAACGACCAACUCAUCUGGAGUGGACUAGAACAAGAUGACAUGAGAAUUUUGUACAAAUACCUCACCACCUCACUGUUCCCCAGACACAUCGAACCUGAGUUGGCGGGAAGGGAUUCCCCAGUAAGGGCGGAAAUGCCGGGAAAUCUUCAACACUACGGAAGUUUACCUCAUUGAUUGAUCAUCUCUGUGUUUACUUUGAAGAUUUCUUACUGGACCCUUGAACCUUAAUGAUCCAGAAGCAAAAUGCAGAUUCCCCAAAAUUUUUGUAAAUACAGAUGACACUUAUGAAGAGCUCCAUUUAAUUGUUUAUAAGGCCAUGAGCGCAGCUGUCUGCUUCAUGAUCGACGCCUCCACGCAGCUCACGCUGGAUUUCUGCCGAAGAUUGGACAGCAUUGUCGGGCCGCAGCUCACAGUGCUGGCAUCUGACAUCUGUGAGCAGUUUAAUAUCAACAAGAGAAUCUCUGGGUUUGUACUCUGCUUCACGUUUACUCUCGUAGACCAGCUGCUUGUGGUCAGGUUGAGGUGCCUUGUACUAAAGCGUGUGGACAGCGUUAACCACUGUGGCAUUUCCUCAAAAUCUAGAGAGCUCGGUCUCCUCUGCAUGUGUCCUAGGAAAGGGAAAGGUAGGUCCCGUUUGGAUGUCCAUUUUACUUCACAGAAGAGGCUGGUGCAGCUUGACGUGGCCUUCAUUGGGGAUAGUGCGAAGUCUUACACAGUGAGCUGCAGUUGCAUGGCCAGGCACUGUACACAAAGCACACAUCAUUCCCAGCACUGGACAUAGUGUUUGUCUCCUAAACCAGGGUCAGCAGAGUGUUUCUUGCAACACAGCAGGUAGUAAAUAAGUUGGACUUCUUGGACAAUGUACUUUUAUUUAAAAACAAUCACAUAGUAGGGGAAAUAUCUUUGGUUGGGAAGUAGACUUCGUCUCUCUGGAAAGUUCUAUCUUGUUAGAUAUCACACGUUGUUAUUAUUGGAUGAAGCAUUGGUUACAGCUUUCUGAGAUCCUUGAUUUGGUGCCGUUGAAGCUGCAAGGCCUUUAUCUGGUUGUGUAAUUCAUGAGUUUCUUGUGCGUGUGUCCAGGUCAGAGAACGGUGUGCAGGAGUCGCUUCUCUCCAUCCUGUGGGCCUUGGGUUCUGACUCGGGUCCCUUCUGAGUCACCGUGCCACUCCUGCCAUAGUCUUAGUUUGUGAAUUCUCUGUUUGUGAGGAUCUCCGGGGUUUUGGUCCAGGUCCCGUGGAUUGAAGGCUGCCCUUCUACACUUUGCCACUGUGGCCGUGCAGAUUGUCACCAUCUCAAUGUCAUGUCUGCACAGGUCUGAAAAAGAGCCCCAGUUUAAGUUCAUCUACUUCAACCACAUGAAUUUAGCAGAGAAAAGUACAAUUCACAUGAGGAAGACGCCCAGCGUGUCACUCACGUCCGUCCACCCGGAUCUAAUGAAGAUUCUAGGGGACAUCAACAGUGACUUUACCAGAGCAGAUGAAGAUGAAGAGAUCAUUGUGAAAGCCAUGAGCGACUACUGGGUUGUGGGGAAGAAGUCUGACCAGCGGGAGCUCUACGUGAUUCUCAAUCAGAAGAACGCGAACCUGAUCGAGGUCAAUGAAGAGGUGAAGAAACUCUGCGCCACGCAGUUCAACAACAUCUUCUUCUUGGAUUGACUCUAACGGCUCACAACACAUCUUUAAAAACCUCAGCAAACCUUUGUUUACCAUUACAACUUACUGGUCAUGAUAGUGACUGGGUCAGUGACACUCGUAAAGCAAUACCCGCUUUGAGAAAUCGAUUUCUACUUGGUCUGAUGAUUCCCCGAGGUUUUUAGAUGUUAGAUAUCUAUGUGGAAUUAAUUAUAGUCAGCUGGCUGUCAUCCCAUCCCGCUGACAUCACGUGGAUAUUUUACUGGGAAAGGAGAGUAAUAAAUUGUUAAAGUUUUUAAAAA